AGCUCUAGUGGUAGCAGUUUUAUUGGGCCUAAGCGUCCGUAGCCGGUUUAAUAAGUCUCUGGUGAAAUCCUGUAGCUUAACUGUGGGAAUUGCUGGAGAUACUAUUAGACUUGAGACCGGGAGAGGUUAGAGGUACUCCCAGGGUAGAGGUGAAAUUCUGUAAUCCUGGGAGGACCGCCUGUUGCGAAGGCGUCUAACUGGAACGGUUCUGACGGUGAGGGACGAAAGUUAGGGGCGCGAACCGGAUUAGAUACCCGGGUAGUCCUAACCGUAAACGAUGCGGACUUGGUGUUGGGGUGGCUUUGAGCUGCUCCAGUGCCGAAGGGAAGCUGUUAAGUCCGCCGCCUGGGAAGUACGGUCGCAAGACUGAAACUUAAAGGAAUUGGCGGGGGGAGCACCACAACGCGUGGAGCCUGCCGGUUUAAUUGGAUUCAACGCCGGACAUCUCACCAGAGGCGACAGCUGUAUGAUAGCCAGGCUGAUGACUUUGCUUGACUAGCUGAGGGGAGGUGCAUGG
Molecule: ribosomal RNA, 517 nt
Filed under: uncultured archaeon
Lineage: Archaea
Description: bacterial SSU rRNA
Rfam family: Archaeal small subunit ribosomal RNA
Source: RNAcentral